AACCGUCUCUUCGAGUGGCCGACGCGAUUAUUGGGCCUAAAGCGUCCGUAGGCGGACUAGUUCGUCCCACAUUAAAGACGGCAACUUAAUUGUCUGAAGUGUGUGGGAAACUGCUAGUCUUGGCAAUGGGAGAGGUAAGCCGUACGGCAGGAGUAAGGGUGAAAUCUUAUAAUCCCUGUCGGACGACCGAUGGCGAAGGCAGCUUACUGGAACAUGUGCGACGCUGAUGGACGAAAGCCAGGGGAGUGAGUCGGAUUAGAUACCCGAGUAAUCCUGGCCGUAAACGAUGCGGAUUAAGUGUUGGAUGGUCAUGAGGCCAUUCAGUGCCGAAGCGAAGGCGUUAAAUCCGCCGCCUGGGAAGUACGAGCGCAAGCUUGAAACUUAAAGAAAUUGGCGGGAGAGCGCCACAACCGGUGGAGCCUGCGGCUU
Molecule: ribosomal RNA, 429 nt
Filed under: uncultured archaeon
Lineage: Archaea
Description: bacterial SSU rRNA
Rfam family: Archaeal small subunit ribosomal RNA
Source: RNAcentral